CCUCCCACAGAUCUCUGUGUCCCACAUCUCCACCUCACGUCAUAACCCAAAAAUACUUCUAACCGAGAGAUCAAGUGUUCUGAAACAAUUUCGGAGCUUACAUGCCCACACGGUCAUGUAGCCUCUGUUUAAACUCCCAUCCGUUAAUUACUGUGGAGGACAACUAACGACGAAACACAGCACAGCAGCCCAAGAGAGCGAAGUAGCUGGUGAAGCUGAAGCAAUCAGCACCUCAGGGGAGAUAUAUUGAGUAAGAGCAGCAUCACCAGUCAUGCAAACUGCUGAUGUCCACACCACACACAAACACAGUCAGACGCACACACGUACACCGCCCACACACACACACACACACACACACACACACACACACACACACACACACACACACACACACACACACACACACACACACACA
Molecule: long non-coding RNA, 415 nt
Organism: Oncorhynchus keta (chum salmon)
Lineage: Eukaryota; Metazoa; Chordata; Actinopteri; Salmoniformes; Salmonidae
Exons: 2
Source: RefSeq, a predicted model, not a curated record